RNAcentral lists this ribosomal RNA (757 nucleotides) under Shigella sonnei. Its description in RNAcentral is "bacterial SSU rRNA". It matches the Rfam family "Bacterial small subunit ribosomal RNA", at positions 1 to 747 of the family's 1533-position model. The record is from RNAcentral. Lineage: Bacteria; Pseudomonadati; Pseudomonadota; Gammaproteobacteria; Enterobacterales; Enterobacteriaceae.
AAAUUGAAGAGUUUGAUCAUGGCUCAGAUUGAACGCUGGCGGCAGGCCUAACACAUGCAAGUCGAACGGUAACAGGAAGAAGCUUGCUUCUUUGCUGACGAGUGGCGGACGGGUGAGUAAUGUCUGGGAAACUGCCUGAUGGAGGGGGAUAACUACUGGAAACGGUAGCUAAUACCGCAUAACGUCGCAAGACCAAAGAGGGGGACCUUCGGGCCUCUUGCCAUCGGAUGUGCCCAGAUGGGAUUAGCUUGUUGGUGGGGUAACGGCUCACCAAGGCGACGAUCCCUAGCUGGUCUGAGAGGAUGACCAGCCACACUGGAACUGAGACACGGUCCAGACUCCUACGGGAGGCAGCAGUGGGGAAUAUUGCACAAUGGGCGCAAGCCUGAUGCAGCCAUGCCGCGUGUAUGAAGAAGGCCUUCGGGUUGUAAAGUACUUUCAGCGGGGAGGAAGGGAGUAAAGUUAAUACCUUUGCUCAUUGACGUUACCCGCAGAAGAAGCACCGGCUAACUCCGUGCCAGCAGCCGCGGUAAUACGGAGGGUGCAAGCGUUAAUCGGAAUUACUGGGCGUAAAGCGCACGCAGGCGGUUUGUUAAGUCAGAUGUGAAAUCCCCGGGCUCAACCUGGGAACUGCAUCUGAUACUGGCAAGCUUGAGUCUCGUAGAGGGGGGUAGAAUUCCAGGUGUAGCGGUGAAAUGCGUAGAGAUCUGGAGGAAUACCGGUGGCGAAGGCGGCCCCCUGGACGAAGACUGACGCU